This is a long non-coding RNA of Pseudophryne corroboree (corroboree frog), 1438 nucleotides long. RefSeq lists it as uncharacterized. The record is from RefSeq and is a predicted model, not a curated record. The transcript has 4 exons. NCBI's taxonomy places the organism in Eukaryota, Metazoa, Chordata, Amphibia, Anura, Myobatrachidae.
GGCUGCCUGUAGGGGGAGCUGCAGCGGAAGCGCAGCUCCUCUCAGGCAGUUCAAGGGGCCAUGAGACAGAGCUACGUGAGGCAGUGGCUGCUGUCUUCGGCUCCCACAGUAAUGUAAGGCGGAGAGGAAAGAAGCAAGCAGUGACCACACGGAGCAGCAAAUUCCUUAAAAAUUUGUAACCUUGCCCGCAGCUCGCUCGCCAUGCAAAGGGGACGUGCACUAAUUGUGGUUUUUGCCCAAGAAGAGUGCUAUAAAAAGCAAAGCAAAAGAGCAGCAAAAUAGAAACUACCGUCUUUACACGUUCUCAUGAAAAUCCAGCAAUUACUCUGAGGACCUGAGGAUGUUGCUUGAAUUGGAAUUAAUCUCUCUGUCUCUCUCUGUCGGCUUCUUUCCAGCCUGUGCUGCAGCUUUCCAACAAAAAUGAGUAAUAAGAGCCAUACACAGUAUAUACAGUAUUGUAAAUAGUUAUUCCAUUACUGUUACUUUUAAAUGUGUGGAGAUUUCCAUUCAAAGUUAAAUAAGCUUUAUAACCAAAGCAAUAGGACAUUGUGUAUCUCCUGUACUAGCAGAAUGACAGACUGUGGACUUACAGUCUUACAGGGCACAAAAUAAUCGGUGUCUUAGAGAGUACACAGUGGUUGAAUCAUUUUCAAUUAAUAGCUACACACAUUGUAUCAUCAUCCAGACAAGUAUAACUAUUUAUGGGCACGCCGAGACUGGAGAGAGCUGUGUUAUUCCUAUUCUUGUUAACAUACUGUAUUGAAUUGCACUGUAGCACAACUAGCCUGUCACAAUAUGUUUCCGUUUGAUGUUUAAGUACUUAAACAUGAUAUUCCGAUGUUCUCUCAUGGACAUUUACCAAGAGAGGUAAAAGUGCCAGCAAAAAUACACAUUUCUCCAACACCUCUUAACAAACAGUCCUUCUGCGAUUGUUAUGGUUUCCGCUGACCGCUAGAUGAAUCCCCAGAAUCAGACCAAUUGAGACCUUCGCCUAUAGAAAGCCACCUUUCUCGUAGCGCUCCAUAUGCUCACAGGUACUCGGCUGCCUCAGGACUUCAGGCACAGUGUAGGAGGGCCUGAGUUCCAGGAAUACGGAGAUAUCUCAGUAAAGCUAGUUAGAGGUCAGGAUAGGUAGCACACAGCAUUCCAAGGAAGGUAAACAAGGUCAAGACAGGUAGCAGACAGUGUAAUUUCAAAAACAUUUCUAAGGAUUAGGUGGUUUAGAAGACAGAGACAGGAACUGAGUGGGAGAACUGCACACCUGCCAUUUAUAGUACUGAGGAUCAAAGGGGAGCCAUUUGAAUAAUGUCCAGACUGUGUUCUUAUUCCCCAUUAUCUCUUCUAGGCAGCGUGCAGCUGGGAAGCAAAAAGGGGUGGCUCCAUGCUUGCAAGCUGCAUCUAUGACUUUGAACCACAAUAAUAAAUGUAUUAUGCAUUC